Molecule: long non-coding RNA, 1249 nt
Filed under: Rhinolophus ferrumequinum (greater horseshoe bat)
Lineage: Eukaryota; Metazoa; Chordata; Mammalia; Chiroptera; Rhinolophidae
Description: lncRNA (ENSRFEG00010016896.1)
Source: RNAcentral
CAGCCCCGUCCCCCCAGCCCCAGCCCCGCCCCGCCGCUCCAGGCCCCCGCCUCCCCGCCCCAGCCCCCCUCGGCCCCACCCCCAGCCCCGCCUCGCACCGACCUCUGCGAGCAGCCCGCGUCUCACUGAGUCAUCCUUGAGUCCGCGCCCCUGACAACAAUCCUCGCCGUGCCCCGGCUGGACUUAGGGAUUUAGGACGCCGCGGGGGCGGGGGGAAGAAAGAGGAGGGAGGGAAGGAAGGCAGUACCGAAAGCACCGGAGAGGAAGAGAGGCGGAAGGGCGGCACUGACGGGAAGAACGGGAGGGCAAAUGCCACAGCCAGCGUUUGUAACCUAUGGCUUGCAGGCCAAACCUGGGAUCUGGUGAAGUCGAAGCCAGGUGAGGCUCAGGACUGAACUGCGAUAUCAUGGAGCCUGGGCCGUCCUGUGGAGGGGCAGGACAGGUGGGUCAGCUGUUUCUUCAGCCGAGGCAGGUGAAACCAGGAGGGGUGAGCUAGCACUUUGCCUGUAGUGGAGGUGGUGUGAAGGAGCUAGAAGGGCCCUUUCCCCUAUUGUCAUAAGUCUGACAGGUUGAGGUCUUUGAAAAGGACCCAGUCUCCUGGGGCUAGGAAAAGUGGGAGGAAGUGUCUUCCGAUCUAGGAAGAAUGUGAUCUGCACGUUCCCUAAAGAUCUGCCAAAUGAGGCUAAGGGCUGGGAGGUAGGCUCUCACUGGUGAGUUGUUAGGAGGGAGGUUGUCUAGGAGGAAGGGUCUGCCAUACAUGAGCUUGAAAGGACUGAGGAAGGUGGGGGCCUGAGGGGUGGUAUGGAUUUAAUAAAGGAGAUACGGUUGGCUGUGAUGGCCCUGUGUGUGGGGGUAAGUUGGACACCCAAGUAGAUAACUAAUGAGGUAGAGAGUUGUGCCUUGUGUGGGGACACCCGGUAGCCCUUGCUACCAAGGAAGAAGGGUAGCGGUAUAUUCCAGUAGAGAGUGAGUGAGACAGACUGCACAAAAGGAGAUCAUCCACCUAUUGUAGGGGUGUUUUCGGAGCGAGGUCGAGAGAACCUAGGGCCUGGCCGAGGAAAUGGGGGCUGUCCCUGAACUCCUGGGAAGGACUGUCUAUGUUAGUUGUCUGGAAUGUAGGGUGUUAGGAUUAGUCCAGGUAAAGGUGAAGAGGUCUUGGGAGUGAGGAUGUAAGGGAAUGGUAAAGAAGGCGUCUUUGAGGUCCUUGACAGUGAAGUGAGUGGUAUCAGGGGGGAUGAGAAAGAAGGCU